AUCAAUUUUUUAUUUUCAUCAAGGUACUUUUGAAUCUGCUCAGUGGUAAUGUUUGCGGGUGGAUAUGAAGGCAUCACUGGAAUCAUCUGCGGUGGCUGAUGCAUCUUGUACUCCUUGAUUUGCUCAAAAAACCCUAACCCUAGUCCCAAAAUGGAUAAACCCUCUGCAAGCGAGGCAAGUGAGAGUAUUUGAUUGGAGACAGACCGAUCUUUAAGGCGACGAGGUUUCUGGAGGAAUUUAAGACAAAGGUAAAGUUUUCUCAAAAAUUCAUUUUAUCG
This 278-nucleotide unclassified non-coding RNA is filed under the name Hevea brasiliensis (rubber tree). Lineage: Eukaryota; Viridiplantae; Streptophyta; Magnoliopsida; Malpighiales; Euphorbiaceae. The record is from RNAcentral.